CACUAUCGUUAACUGAAUACAUAGGUUAACGAGGCGAACCGGGGGAACUGAAACAUCUAAGUACCCCGAGGAAAAGAAAUCAACCGAGAUUCCCCCAGUAGCGGCGAGCGAACGGGGAGCAGCCCAGAGUCUGAAUCAGCUUGUGUGUUAGUGGAACGGUCUGGAAAGUCCGACGGUACAGGGUGAUAGUCCCGUACACCAAAAUGCACAGGUUGUGAACUCGAAGAGUAGGGCGGGACACGUGGUAUCCUGUCUGAAUAUGGGGGGACCAUCCUCCAAGGCUAAAUACUCCUGACUGACCGAUAGUGAACCAGUACCGUGAGGGAAAGGCGAAAAGAACCCCGGCGAGGGGAGUGAAAAAGAACCUGAAACCGUGUACGUACAAGCAGUGGGAGCACCUUCGGGUGUGACUGCGUACCUUUUGUAUAAUGGGUCAGCGACUUAUAUUCUGUAGCAAGGUUAACCGUAUAGGGGAGCCGCAGGGAAACCGAGUCUUAACUGGGCGUUAAGUUGCAGGGUAUAGACCCGAAACCCGGUGAUCUAGCCAUGGGCAGGUUGAAGGUUGGGUAACACUAACUGGAGGACCGAACCGACUAAUGUUGAAAAAUUAGCGGAUGACUUGUGGCUGGGGGUGAAAGGCCAAUCAAACCGGGAGAUAGCUGGUUCUCCCCGAAAGCUAUUUAGGUAGCGCCUCGUGAACUCAUCUUCGGGGGUAGAGCACUGUUUCGGCUAGGGGGUCAUCCCGACUUACCAACCCGAUGCAAACUACGAAUACCGAAGAAUGUUAUCACGGGAGACACACGGCGGGUGCUAACGUCCGUCGUGAAGAGGGAAACAACCCAGACCGCCAGCUAAGGUCCCAAAGUCAUGGUUAAGUGGGAAACGAUGUGGGAAGGCACAGACAGCCAGGAUGUUGGCUUAGAAGCAGCCAUCAUUUAAAGAAAGCGUAAUAGCUCACUGGUCGAGUCGGCCUGCGCGGAAGAUGUAACGGGGCUAAACCAUGCACCGAAGCUGCGGCAGCGACACUAUGUGUUGUUGGGUAGGGGAGCGUUCUGUAAGCCUGCGAAGGUGUGCUGUGAGGCAUGCUGGAGGUAUCAGAAGUGCGAAUGCUGACAUAAGUAACGAUAAAGCGGGUGAAAAGCCCGCUCGCCGGAAGACCAAGGGUUCCUGUCCAACGUUAAUCGGGGCAGGGUGAGUCGACCCCUAAGGCGAGGCCGAAAGGCGUAGUCGAUGGGAAACAGGUUAAUAUUCCUGUACUUGGUGUUACUGCGAAGGGGGGACGGAGAAGGCUAUGUUAGCCGGGCGACGGUUGUCCCGGUUUAAGCAUGUAGGCUGGUUGUCCAGGCAAAUCCGGAUAAUCAAGGCUGAGGUGUGAUGACGAGGCACUACGGUGCUGAAGUAACAAAUGCCCUGCUUCCAGGAAAAGCCUCUAAGCAUCAGGUAACAUUAAAUCGUACCCCAAACCGACACAGGUGGUCAGGUAGAGAAUACCAAGGCGCUUGAGAGAACUCGGGUGAAGGAACUAGGCAAAAUGGUGCCGUAACUUCGGGAGAAGGCACGCUGGUGUGUAGGUGAAGUCCCUGCGGAUGGAGCUGAGACCAGUCGAAGAUACCAGCUGGCUGCAACUGUUUAUUAAAAACACAGCACUGUGCAAACACGAAAGUGGACGUAUACGGUGUGACGCCUGCCCGGUGCCGGAAGGUUAAUUGAUGGGGUUAUCCGUAAGGAGAAGCUCUUGAUCGAAGCCCCGGUAAACGGCGGCCGUAACUAUAACGGUCCUAAGGUAGCGAAAUUCCUUGUCGGGUAAGUUCCGACCUGCACGAAUGGCGUAAUGAUGGCCAGGCUGUCUCCACCCGAGACUCAGUGAAAUUGAACUCGCUGUGAAGAUGCAGUGUACCCGCGGCAAGACGGAAAGACCCCGUGAACCUUUACUAUAGCUUGACACUGAACAUUGAGCCUUGAUGUGUAGGAUAGGUGGGAGGCUUUGAAGCGUGGACGCCAGUCUGCGUGGAGCCAACCUUGAAAUACCACCCUUUAAUGUUUGAUGUUCUAACGUUGGCCCCUUACCGGGGUUGCGGACAGUGUCUGGUGGGUAGUUUGACUGGGGCGGUCUCCUCCCAAAGCGUAACGGAGGAGCACGAAGGUUAGCUAAUCCUGGUCGGACAUCAGGAGGUUAGUGCAAUGGCAUAAGCUAGCUUGACUGCGAGCGUGACGGCGCGAGCAGGUGCGAAAGCAGGUCAUAGUGAUCCGGUGGUUCUGAAUGGAAGGGCCAUCGCUCAACGGAUAAAAGGUACUCCGGGGAUAACAGGCUGAUACCGCCCAAGAGUUCAUAUCGACGGCGGUGUUUGGCACCUCGAUGUCGGCUCAUCACAUCCUGGGGCUGAAGUAGGUCCCAAGGGUAUGGCUGUUCGCCAUUUAAAGUGGUACGCGAGCUGGGUUUAGAACGUCGUGAGACAGUUCGGUCCCUAUCUGCCGUGGGCGCUGGAGAAUUGAGGGGGGCUGCUCCUAGUACGAGAGGACCGGAGUGGACGCAUCACUGGUGUUCGGGUUGUCAUGCCAAUGGCACUGCCCGGUAGCUAAAUGCGGAAGAGAUAAGUGCUGAAAGCAUCUAAGCACGAAACUUGCCCCGAGAUGAGUUCUCCCUGAGACUUUAAGUCUCCUGAAGGAACGUUGAAGACGACGACGUUGAUAGGCCGGGUGUGUAAGCGCAGCGAUGCGUUGAGCUAACCGGUACUAAUGAACCGUGAGGCUUAACCUU
RNAcentral lists this ribosomal RNA (2758 nucleotides) under Klebsiella pneumoniae. RNAcentral describes it as "bacterial LSU rRNA". It matches the Rfam family "Bacterial large subunit ribosomal RNA". Lineage: Bacteria; Pseudomonadati; Pseudomonadota; Gammaproteobacteria; Enterobacterales; Enterobacteriaceae. The record is from RNAcentral.